This 238-nucleotide ribosomal RNA is filed under the name uncultured Lactobacillus sp. RNAcentral's name for it is "partial 16S ribosomal RNA". It matches the Rfam family "Bacterial small subunit ribosomal RNA", at positions 125 to 355 of the family's 1533-position model. Lineage: Bacteria; Bacillati; Bacillota; Bacilli; Lactobacillales; Lactobacillaceae. The record is from RNAcentral.
CCGUGCCCAAGAGAUCGGGAUAACACCUGGAAACAGAUGCUAAUACCGGAUAACAACAGAUGAUGCCUAUCAACUGUUUAAAAGAUGGUUCUGCUAUCACUCUUGGAUGGACCUGCGGUGCAUUAGCUAGUUGGUAGGGUAACGGCCUACCAAGGCGAUGAUGCAUAGCCGAGUUGAGAGACUGAUCGGCCACAUUGGGACUGAGACACGGCCCAAACUCCUGCGGGAGGCAGCAGCC